UCGGGAAUUUUGGGCAAUGGGCGUAAGCCUGACCCAGCAACGCCGCGUGAAGGAUGAAAUCCUUCGGGAUGUAAACUUCAUAAGAACGGGAAGAAUAAGUGAAAGCGAACACCUUUCAUGAUGACGGUACCGUUAGUAAGCUCCGGCUAACUCCGUGCCAGCAGCCGCGGUAAUACGGGGGGAGCAAGCGUUGUUCGGAUUUACUGGGCGUAAAGGGCGCGUAGGCGGCCACCGCAAGUCACUUGUGAAAUCUCCGGGCUUAAACUC
Molecule: ribosomal RNA, 267 nt
Filed under: uncultured bacterium
Lineage: Bacteria
Description: partial 16S ribosomal RNA
Rfam family: Bacterial small subunit ribosomal RNA
Source: RNAcentral